This 570-nucleotide ribosomal RNA is filed under the name uncultured bacterium. Its description in RNAcentral is "bacterial SSU rRNA". It matches the Rfam family "Bacterial small subunit ribosomal RNA", at positions 104 to 670 of the family's 1533-position model. The record is from RNAcentral.
GGGUGAGUAAUAUAUCGGAACGUACCCUGGAGUGGGGGAUAACGUAGCGAAAGUUACGCUAAUACCGCAUACGAUCUAAGGAUGAAAGCAGGGGACCGCAAGGCCUUGUGCUCCUGGAGCGGCCGAUAUCUGAUUAGCUAGUUGGUGGGGUAAAGGCCCACCAAGGCAUCGAUCAGUAGCUGGUCUGAGAGGACGACCAGCCACACUGGAACUGAGACACGGUCCAGACUCCUACGGGAGGCAGCAGUGGGGAAUUUUGGACAAUGGGCGAAAGCCUGAUCCAGCAAUGCCGCGUGAGUGAAGAAGGCCUUCGGGUUGUAAAGCUCUUUUGUCAGGGAAGAAACGGUGGAGGCUAAUAUCCUUUGCUAAUGACGGUACCUGAAGAAUAAGCACCGGCUAACUACGUGCCAGCAGCCGCGGUAAUACGUAGGGUGCAAGCGUUAAUCGGAAUUACUGGGCGUAAAGCGUGCGCAGGCGGUUUUGUAAGUUUGUCGUGAAAUCCCCGGGCUCAACCUGGGAAUGGCGAUGAAGACUGCAAGGCUAGAGUUUGGCAGAGGGGGGUAGAAUUCC